This 1764-nucleotide ribosomal RNA is filed under the name Triticum aestivum (bread wheat). RNAcentral describes it as "partial small subunit ribosomal RNA". The record is from RNAcentral. Lineage: Eukaryota; Viridiplantae; Streptophyta; Magnoliopsida; Poales; Poaceae.
AUGGACGCCGCCGGAGGGGGAGGAGAAGAAGUGUUUGUUACCUACGCCCAAAUCGGGCCGUACUUCAACCUUCUGGCACUGGAGGGGCCGUCCGCGCAGCAUCGCAUCGAUCGCAUCGUCCCCUACCUCAUCUCCCUCCCUUCGUCCCCACGCCCGACGCCGACGCCGGAGUCCUCCGACUCCGACGACGACCACUUCUCCCUCACCUCCUCCGACGACGACACCGCCGCCCCCGCCGUUCCGGCGGCACAGGAUGGUGACGGCCAGGACCACAUCAGCCGUCUCCCGGACGACCUGCUCUCCAACAUCGUCUCCUGCCUCCCCACCAACGAAGCCGCGCGCACCAUGGUCCUCUCGACCCGCUGGCGCGGCGUCUGGGCGGCGACCCCGCUCCUCGUCCACGACGCCCACAUCAGGGCCGCCGACAGGCACGCCGUGCGUGCCCUCUCGCGCUGCGUGGCCGCUCACCCCGGCCCCGUCCGUGCCGUGCGCGUCACCCGCACCUCCUUCCACCGGCAGGAGUACGCGCUGGAGCGCCUGGUCGCCAGCCUCGCCGCCAAGAACGUCCAGGACCUCAUCCUCUUCAACCGACCCUGGCCGCUCGACAUGCCGCUCCCCGAUGACAUCCUCAGCUGUGGCUCUCUCACCCGCCUCUACAUCGGCUUCUGGCGCUUCCCAGACACUACCGCCCACCAGCCCGCAUUUCCCAACCUCCAUGAGCUCGGCCUUUUUCACUCCAUCAUCGAGGACCGGGAUGUCGAUGCCUUGCUCGCGCACUGCUUCAAGCUGAGAAUCCUCUCCUUUGCCAUGGCGUACAGCUGCCGUUCACGCCUCCGUAUCAGGUCCAGCAGCCUCCGCGUCAUGAUGGAAUGGAGAUGUGGUUUCAAUGAAAUCAUCGUCGAGGAUGCACCUUGCCUGGAGCGCCUGCUCUUCCAUAGCAUUUCCGAUCGGAGGCCCGUUAGGAUUGUCAAUGCGCCUAGGCUGGAGGUGCUCGGCUUCUUGGACCUCCAGGUCCACGCGCUCGAGAUUGGUGGCGUUGUCAUCAGGGCUGGUAUGAAUGUGAGAGCUAGGGCCAUGCUGCCAAGUUUGAAGAUGCUGGCUGUCAAGGUGCGGUUUUCGCACGACAUGGAGGUCAAGAUGCUGGACACUCUGCUCAGAUGCUUUCCUCGCCUUGAGACGCUUCACGUCAUGUCCAUUCAACCCAGUUCACCUGAUAGUGUUGAUUGUGCUGAGUUCUGGAAGUCCCUUGGCUCUUGCGAUUGCCUUGAGUCUCAUCUGAAGACAUUCGUCUUCCAUAGAUACCAGGGUCUGGAUUGUGAGUACUUGUUUCUUUGUUAUAUCUUGAAGAAGGGGAAGGUGCUUAAGACGCUGGGCUUUGAUUGUGCUGACAGUGAUGAUGUGGUAGUGGAGGGAGGCCCUAUGUCAGGUUCUUCUGUUGAGGGCAAUGCGCCAACAGGUGGAAGCAGUGGCAGUGAUGAUGUGGUAAUGGAGGGAGGCCCUAUGUCAGGUUCUGCUGGUGAGGGCAAUGUGUCUUCAGGUGGAAGUGGUGGCAGUAAUGAUGUGGUAAAGGAGGGAGGUCCGGUGUCGGGAUCCGUUGGUGAGGGCAAUGCGCCAUCAGGUGGAAGCAGGGGCAGUAAUAUUAUUUACGUUUGCGUUGCCUCCCCUUGCUGGACCUUUCAGAACGCCAUUGACUUGUCAGUGGAGGAUCCCUUCUGUGUGUUGAGGCAUGACAAGUGCUGGAUCGCUUCUCGAGUUAUGGCAUGA